GGGGUAUAGCUCAGUGGUAAAGCAUUCGGCUGCAGUUCGAAGGUUCCGGUUCAAACCCGGGUUUCCUCUUCA
Non-coding RNA from Trichonephila inaurata madagascariensis, 72 nucleotides. NCBI's taxonomy places the organism in Eukaryota, Metazoa, Arthropoda, Arachnida, Araneae, Nephilidae. The record is from the annotation of a GenBank genome assembly.